RNAcentral lists this ribosomal RNA (569 nucleotides) under uncultured bacterium. RNAcentral describes it as "partial 16S ribosomal RNA". It matches the Rfam family "Bacterial small subunit ribosomal RNA", at positions 355 to 914 of the family's 1533-position model. The record is from RNAcentral.
UGGGGAAUAUUGCACAAUGGGCGCAAGCCUGAUGCAGCCAUGCCGCGUGUGUGAAGAAGGCCUUCGGGUUGUAAAGCACUUUCAGCGAGGAGGAAGGUGGUGAGCUUAAUACGCUCAUCAAUUGACGUUACUCGCAGAAGAAGCACCGGCUAACUCCGUGCCAGCAGCCGCGGUAAUACGGAGGGUGCAAGCGUUAAUCGGAAUUACUGGGCGUAAAGCGCACGCAGGCGGUUUGUUAAGUCAGAUGUGAAAUCCCCGGGCUCAACCUGGGAACUGCAUUUGAAACUGGCAAGCUAGAGUCUCGUAGAGGGGGGUAGAAUUCCAGGUGUAGCGGUGAAAUGCGUAGAGAUCUGGAGGAAUACCGGUGGCGAAGGCGGCCCCCUGGACGAAGACUGACGCUCAGGUGCGAAAGCGUGGGGCAGCAAACAGGAUUAGAUACCCUGGUAGUCCACGCUGUAAAACGAUGUCGAUUUGGAGGUUGUGCCCUUGAGGCGUGGCUUCCGGAGCUAACGCGUUAAAUCGACCGCCUGGGGAGUACGGCCGCAAGGUUAAAACUUAAAUGAAUUGAC